RNAcentral lists this ribosomal RNA (253 nucleotides) under uncultured bacterium. Its description in RNAcentral is "partial 16S ribosomal RNA". It matches the Rfam family "Bacterial small subunit ribosomal RNA", at positions 524 to 776 of the family's 1533-position model. The record is from RNAcentral.
UACGAAGGGGGCUAGCGUUGCUCGGAAUUACUGGGCGUAAAGGGCGCGUAGGCGGCACUGUUAGUCAGGCGUGAAAGUCCUGGGCUCAACCUGGGAACUGCGCUUGAUACGGCAGAGCUAGAGGAUGGAAGAGGCUCGCGGAAUUCCCAGUGUAGAGGUGAAAUUCGUAGAUAUGGGGAGGAACACCGGUGGCGAAGGCGGCCAUCUGGACGGUAACUGACGCUGAGACGCGAAAGCGUGGGGAGCAAACAGG